Molecule: long non-coding RNA, 1564 nt
Organism: Homo sapiens (human)
Lineage: Eukaryota; Metazoa; Chordata; Mammalia; Primates; Hominidae
Gene: MIR646HG
Product: MIR646 host gene
Source: Ensembl
AUUCUGCCGCCCAUUUUACCCGCGGGGAAGCUGAGGCCCAGUGCUGUUUAAUAUCUUACUCAUGUUCACUUGAUGAGAAAGUGACAGAUCUGAGACAAACCCAGAUGGUGUGCUGCAUUCCCAUGGUUUUGGAUCCUGCAACCACUCUUGUUCCACGCAGAGGCCAGCCUGUGGGUUAGAGAGAUGCACAGAGAGGGACAAAGCCCGGAACAAUCACAGAGAAUCAAAGCACUCUGGUUAUACCUUGCCUUCCCUAAGCUGCUGAUGAAUUAGCAGAUCAAAUUCCAGAAAUAAUUCAACCUUCCACUGUUUUUUUUUUUUCACGCACGUGUCCCUUUGCCAGGCAGCCUUGCUGUAGUGCCUCUGUUUAAUAUUCCAUUUGUAAGAUGGGCAGCUCCAAGUCUAUGCUCACUCAGCUGCUCAUCAAGAAUAACAAGGUAAAUGACAAAGGAGGUAAGAAUGUCCUCGUCAAAUGUCCUAUGCUGUCACCUGCCAGAAAGCCCUCGGCAGUCAGUGUCCAAGAUGGCUCCCCACGCAGGAAUCUCUCUGAAGUGCUCUGUGAUCUCCACAACUAAAACAUAAUUUCUGGCUCCAGAGAGCUCUGGGGCUCUGUUCCCUUGUUCAGCCCGUGCUCCUGGUCAUCGUCAGCCCCAGGACUGAGGCUUGGACUGGCUCAGGGGCUGCUGUCUGUGAAAAUCAGAUUGAUGCAUCUGAUUACAUGGCCUGUUAACAUCUGCAAAAAAUAAGAUAAAAUAAGAAUUAUUUACCUGUCACAGCUUUGACACACCAUCACAAACUGGAGCUGACACCUCUUCUGUUCACCUUGGAGAGGUGCAGAGUGAAGAGCAGACCGUGACACACUUAAUAGAUUGCUGGGCAUUUACGGAGCUGCUUGUUACCCAGCUCAAGAGCCAUGUCCAACUGCUACAGCGUUCAUCAAAGACAAGAAGCCACAAGGAGCAAGUCAGUACUGCAAUUCAUUAAGGCAACUUGACCUCUGGGGAGAGGAGAAGAAAAAGGAACUAGCAGCAUUGAUUGCCUAUGUUUCCUGAAGUGUGGUGUCAUGGCAUAAAAUGACAUUGAAUCACAGGGUGAGAAAACCACGCAUUUCAGCUCUUGCUUGGCCUUUGAAGACGACAUAGGAAGUCUCUGCUGGUGCUAGUUGUCUUGAGCUUCUCUUUGACACCCUUUCCUAAUGCAAACAGAGUGGGCCUCAGCAUGGGAGCUUCUGCAGAAAGGGACCAGCUUGACGAAGCUUCUGCUUUUGUGACUGUCUCCUAAUGCAGAAACCAGAGCACCUCAGAAGAUCAAGGCUUCCAAAUUCUCCUGGGGGAACAGACGUCAGCCAUUCAGCACAAAGGAAACUUCCUUCUCUGUAUGUCAGAGGAAGACAUAAUUGUGCCAUUUCCUUCUUGAAGAAGUUUACAAACAUUUGCAAGUUGUCAAAAAUAAUUAGUCUAAAAUUGUUUCAUAAACCGUGGAAUGAAACAGGACGUGCCUUGUUGAGAUCAAAGGGCUUCUGUUACCUUCUUGUAAACUCAAAUGAAAUUCUUUUGAAAGUAAA